AACGCUAGCUACAGGCUUAACACAUGCAAGUCGAGGGGCAGCAUGAUUGAAGCUUGCUUCAAUUGAUGGCGACCGGCGCACGGGUGAGUAACACGUAUCCAACCUUCCGUACACUCAGGGAUAGCCUUUCGAAAGAAAGAUUAAUACCUGAUGGUAUCUUAAGCACACAUGUAAUUAAGAUUAAAGAUUUAUCGGUGUACGAUGGGGAUGCGUUCCAUUAGGUAGUAGGCGGGGUAACGGCCCACCUAGCCUACGAUGGAUAGGGGUUCUGAGAGGAAGGUCCCCCACAUUGGAACUGAGACACGGUCCAAACUCCUACGGGAGGCAGCAGUGAGGAAUAUUGGUCAAUGGACGAGAGUCUGAACCAGCCAAGUAGCGUGAAGGAUGAAGGUCCUACGGAUUGUAAACUUCUUUUAUAAGGGAAUAAAACCUCCCACGUGUGGGAGCUUGUAUGUACCUUAUGAAUAAGCAUCGGCUAACUCCGUGCCAGCAGCCGCGGUAAUACGGAGGAUGCGAGCGUUAUCCGGAUUUAUUGGGUUUAAAGGGAGCGCAGACGGGUCGUUAAGUCAGCUGUGAAAGUUUGGGGCUCAACCUUAAAAUUGCAGUUGAUACUGGCGUCCUUGAGUGCAGUUGAGGCAGGCGGAAUUCGUGGUGUAGCGGUGAAAUGCAUAGAUAUCACGAAGAACUCCGAUUG
This 694-nucleotide ribosomal RNA is filed under the name uncultured bacterium. RNAcentral describes it as "bacterial SSU rRNA". It matches the Rfam family "Bacterial small subunit ribosomal RNA", at positions 32 to 715 of the family's 1533-position model. The record is from RNAcentral.